RNAcentral lists this ribosomal RNA (269 nucleotides) under uncultured bacterium. RNAcentral's name for it is "partial 16S ribosomal RNA". It matches the Rfam family "Bacterial small subunit ribosomal RNA", at positions 195 to 467 of the family's 1533-position model. The record is from RNAcentral.
AGGCGGCGUAAGNCUGUCGCUAUGGGAUGGCCCCGCGGUGCAUUAGCUAGUUGGUAAGGUAACGGCUUACCAAGGCGAUGAUGCAUAGCCGAGUUGAGAGACUGAUCGGCCACAUUGGGACUGAGACACGGCCCAAACUCCUACGGGAGGCAGCAGUAGGGAAUCUUCCACAAUGGACGCAAGUCUGAUGGAGCAACGCCGCGUGAGUGAAGAAGGUUUUCGGAUCGUAAAGCUCUGUUGUUGGUGAAGAAGGAUANAGGUAGUAACUG